GCUUUAUUGUUCUCAUCUUUUUUAAAGUUUAUCAAUACAUUUUUUGUUUUAUUUGUAUCCCGUGCUGCUCUCCUUCAAGCAUAUUGUUCUAGCCCUAUUAGGCACCCUCCUGCACAUCAUAUAGAGCCUUGGACGGCUCUGCAUCCUGUGAGUUCCAUCCUAAAUAGGGGUUUAUUAUAUAUACACACAGUUUGCACUUUGUUUUUAUAUUUUUGUUUACUAGAUUGAUCCUGCUAUUUGUAUUUCGCUGACUGGUGCAGUAUUUGUUUUAAUUUUCCAUUGUCUAUUUUUAAAGUGUUGUGGGAUACACUUUCACUACACCAGUCAUUUUGUAUUCUGCAAUUUGGUAGCACCUACACACCUUUAUAUCUUUAUAUGAUAUAUUAUGAUUGAUGUAUAUUUUGCAGUAAAUUACGAUGCAUGCAUCCAGUUACGGCUUGCAUGUUACCAUGUUGUUUCUAUUUUACAGCUUAACUUCGAGGUCACGUUGGUGAUUCUGUACUGAAUUCCUGUUGUGGAUUUGUUUUAUCCAUGGUUCUGGAUGUUCUGUUUCUCU
Non-coding RNA from Pelobates cultripes (western spadefoot toad), 556 nucleotides. NCBI's taxonomy places the organism in Eukaryota, Metazoa, Chordata, Amphibia, Anura, Pelobatidae. The record is from the annotation of a GenBank genome assembly.